UUCACUGAGAUGAUAAAAAAUACUAUUAUAUUCUCUGAUGAUAAACGCAGAGGUAGUUUCUGUCUUGGAUAGUAAUGCUAAUGUUUCCCCAGAUGUGACUUUAAGCUUAUUCUUUCUGAUGAACAUGGUGGCAGGGUCUUCCUCUCCGUAACCAGUAAGGAAGAUCUGCAACUGAUUCUUAAUGAGAUAUUCUUUUGUAUCCACGGUGAGGUUUGUUGACAAAUCCAAAGUCAGUUCUGUCAGUAUCUGUAUGGCUCUCGUCUGCAGUUUUUUGUUAGCUUUAUUGCUGUAAUCAAGAAUCAUCUCCAGAUUGCUGAUCACCUGCUUGCUAGCAGACAUCUCGCGGCAAAGCCUUCUGCCAGUCCAUCCCUGAGCACGGAUAAGCUGGUACACCAGUCUGAAUGAUCCGUUCACUAUAUUCUCCCGUGCACUUACACUGAUAUCUUGGAUUAAUGUGUCGGAAUAGAUAGGUGCCAUGAUCUUGGGGAGUAGAUCGGGGGUGGCACAUAUGUCCCUGCAGUUGUGUUCGUCAGACGCCAGCCUCUCAAGAAUUGUCAGGCUUUGCAGAAUCAACACAUUCCAGCCAUUUCCUCUUUCAUCAGUGCAGCUGUCCCCUGCGCCUUGUUGGUCAUCGCCCUCUUGACCUUUUCUCUUUUUUGCUCCUCGCUGAUCUAGCUUUUUUCCACGAGAAACCAACCCUUGUUCUACAGCUGUAGACUGUUCCAACUUACUUUUAGGUAACUGAUGAUUUUCUCCCUGUCGGUUAUUCCAAUAUGGCAGGGUGGUAUCGAGCAGGGAGGAUACACACCGUAUUGCCCCAGGGUACUGUGUUAGAUCGAUAUCCCAGGCAAGAUGCGCCACAAUCCUGGCGGCGCAUUCAGUGAUCUCUCUUUUGCUGCUUCUCCACCUCAGUGUAUCGAUGAGCUUCUGAAUCUUUGGCCUUGAUGGCAGGAGCAGUGACCUUAAAUCCACCCCUUGCUUGAUGAACAUGUCCAGCAUCCUUGCUCCUGAGAGGUAGUCUUGGACCGAUUUGGAGUCCAGCAAGUCGACAGCAUAGUUGACUACAUUCCUACCUUUGAUAGAUGCAGGGUCCUGCCUGCAUUUUGCUCGGGUAUCAAGCAAGUAAUCUUGAAUUGUUAUUCUGCCCCACUUCUUUGGAAAAUUGCAUGCUCGGCUGAGUGAAGCAACAAGGGGUGUGCCCGAAAGUUAUUUGCGUACCACAAAAAAAAGAGUGCCCCUUGGCAGAGAACCAGAGAAUAGAAUAUUUCCAGUGCCGGCAUCAGGUUUGCUUGGGUACUGUCACUGUCAGUCAGUGGCGGACGCAGCGGUACGGCAUGGUCCGGCGGCCGCCACACCUAAAAUUUGUCCACAAACCUAAUACCCAGUGGAGCUUGGUCGCCGAGGUCAUGCCGAGUUCGCCGCCAUCUGCGACCACAUGCUCGUCCUGCGCCCUUCCUCCUCGAAUGCUCGUGCUCGCCCCUAGUGGAGGCGAGGGGAUAAGGCUUGUGGCCCGGCGGUGGAGAAGAGGGUUUGGCUUUGGACGCCGGCGGUGGAGGCUACUGGGUAGGCUUGGUCGUCAUGGGGGGAGAUGAGGGAGAAGUUUAGGCGGUGGCCAGGGGCAGCAGUUCGUUGGAGAAGAAGGUGGAGAUUUUUUUGGUGGGCAAUUUCGGUAUGUCACAGACAAACAGGCCAGUGCGCCCUAUAUUUCGGGAUCUCACGAGGCCUUAACAGAAUGUCACAGACAAAUGGUCCAUAAAUUAUGUCAAUAUUUAAUUUUUUGAUAUUGUUGAGUACAAAAGCAUAUACUUUGGGACGGAUGGAGUAUAAUGUUCUACUGAGUUUGCAUUGUACAUGUUUUUCUCUUUGUUUAAAUUCCGCCACACCUACAUUUUUUUCCUGGGUCCGCUACUGCUGUCAGUGUUGCCAUAAUGGCGUUGCACCAGGCGCCACAGCGAGAGCCCGACACAGAUGGUAGACCCAGACACGCAGAGAAUCUCUAAAACUAAAACCAUAGGUAUGAGCCGUAGGCAUAGAAGUCCAACAAACCCAAAAAAGCAUGCAUUAGGAAUAUCACGAGAUCUUCUAAACAAAAUGUGAUGAGAUUUAUCGAUCAUCUCGUCCACUAGGAUCCAAAAAAUCGAGCAUAAUCAUCUUCUCCGUGUCGCUCAAGAUCCUGUGCAUAUGCCGUUGCAAAUGAAAUAGUCAGGGUUCUUGUCGCCCCACCCGUCAAUGAGAAUUAAGUAACAUGUUCUUACAUUGUACGACAAAAUAUACUGUGGGAAUAUAUUGCAAAUCAAAUAACCAGGAUCCUGCACAUGCCAUUGCAAAAACAUGUAUGCCCUCACGGAAAUGCCAAUCAGGCAAUAAGUGCCCCUCCAUCACUGCAAUAUACUGUGAAAAUUCAAAUCUGCCCAAGACCACAGCAGCAAUGGUUUGACACAUUGAGGCAAUGUGAUUUCUUGAUCCGUAGCUGCACAGGGUAUUUAUCUAGGUGAGUUUAAUGGUUCUUUUUUUAGUUAUAACUUAUCAGAUCUUAUUUGGUUAUUUGCAGUUGACUUCUUUGUUCAGUGUUAGCAGGGGUUGCAACCGCAUCGUGUAUGUACAUGUCAACAAUCUUGUAGCUGCAUGUACAGUGCAUUUACUUGGUUGUUGUUUGACCUUCAGGUUUUAGACAUAUUGAAUUGCAGCCAUGGACUCUUCGUCGAUUAAAUGUGACAAGCUUUGAUCACCACAUACCAUUAUGACACCACAUGAGGCCAGAGCGGUUAUUUUCAAGGACAUGAAAGCAAGCAUGUGUUUGGUUAUGGCUUGUGUUCCUGGCCAGAGUGUGACUCGAUCCUUCACAAUGAGAUUGCAAGACUUCGCAACAUGCUCCAUCCUUGUUUUCUGGUGCAUCUGGAGGCAUAGAAACAGAGUGGUCUUUGAUGGAAUCCCUCCAAGCUCGUUGGCAAUUCUGGACACAGUUCAAAACGAAGGAAAUUGCUGGAUGCAAGCAACGUUGCCGGGUCCCGAUUGACAGGGUUGCGUGCUUAGACACUGCGUAAUAUGUUGCAAAAACUCUGGGCCGGCAAGGGCUUGUAGCUGCUAUUCAUCAUCUCGUCUUUGAUAGAUGAUACACCAGAUUCGAUUGAGAGAAAUAAGUUGAUGUUUGAAGUGGAAGAUAAGUUGAGGCUCCUAUAUAGGUUGCAGCUUACAUUUGCUUGAUGAUAUUGGCAUAUGGAAAAAAAAAGGGGAAAGGAGCAUGGAAGUUUGCAGAGAUCAAGCAUAGACGGUUCCAGUUAAUUAUCUGAUAGAGAACAGAGGUAAUAGCUAAGAGACACUAAUCACUGACCUGGCUUCGUGUAUCAUGCUAAUGGCAGUGAGGCACCAGAAGUCCUUCCUCCCCAGCGUGGUGACGAAGCCACCCAGCAGCACCACCGUGGACCAUGUCAGCGCCAGAUAGCCCAACCCCGUCACGGCCAUCAGGACAUAUGCCUGCCAGAGCACAUAGAUAUUCAGCGACUUCUCUUCCGGCCGCAGCCAAUUCGGGCCGCCGCCGCCAUUGCCAUUGUUCCUCCGAGCUCGAGCUCGGACCUGACCAGCGCCCAUCCUCAACAACAACAGGCAGGUCUUGCUACUGGUCUUUCAGGCUUUCAACCUAUCUAUCUUCUCAGGGCAUCUCAGGGAUGAUUUUGCAAUGGAAUUAAGCCGGAAGGAAUGGGGGCGACCAACCAGCAUGGUUUUCUUUGGUCAAAGCCGGAAGGAAUUAAUGGGGGCGACCAAUCAGCAUGGUCUUUUGGGUCCCUGGAAGUCUGGGAGAAGUUUGCAAUGUAGCUAGAUAGCUCCUUGGCUGCUUUUAUAAUAAGCGGCGUGUGAUACACAUGGGAUACGGCCUACCUUCGUCUCAUCAGCCUCAGCUGCUGCAUGCAAAGAAAUUAAGCAGGAUGCAGCUAGGAUGGGACCAAUCAUGGUGGUCUCUUGUUGGUCACUUGCUUUACGGAGUGUUCGCUGUAAAUUUUCGAUAAAGAGAGCUUUAUUAAAGUCACAUCAAGAAGGUACAUCCAAACAAAAUCUGCACAUGUCGACGCCGAGUAUUAUUAUAAUUAGCAAAAAUUUAUGCGGAGUCGGGCGGCGUGAUUUGUGGUUAGCGUAUGCUUUCUUUGUUAAUAUUCUAUGCUUUCUGUCAAGUGCCUGUUCGUUUUCUAUUAACUCGGUAAAUUGAACAUGCAUACCUACGCCAACCAUGUCUGGCCUCAGAUCAAAAGACCAUGUCUGGCCAGAUCAAAAGACAUGUGGACAAGGAAUACUCCAAAGUGUUAGUUGGAUCUUCAACCCACCUAAAAAGAAGGCUUAUUGCCAGGCAAGAUAAUGGCGAGCUCCUGAAUGAAGACCGGAGUAAGUGUAUAUGUGUGGCCACGUAGGCUUCUAGUCCUUUAAAAAGCCUCUUUUGGAGGAGAUGAUGGCGCAGCGUGCAAUGUCUAGUUCGAUCAUGCUCCCAUUUUUCACUGAAAUGUCCCAAUCACUAUCAUCUGCGGGAAUUUUAGAGUCAAUGUGCUCUCUCCAUCCAUACUUAACCCAUGAGCUUUUGAUGCAUCUCCAAGGGAAUUCUGCAGCUCUGAGCAUACUGAGGCAAGUAGGAGUAGGAUUAGCCUUGAGCUGUUUUAGAUUGUGUGCCACAGGUUUGCAGCUUUACUAAAUUAAGAAUGAACACAGUUAAAUUUCGCA
Brachypodium distachyon (stiff brome) is the source of this 4704-nucleotide long non-coding RNA. RefSeq lists it as uncharacterized. NCBI's taxonomy places the organism in Eukaryota, Viridiplantae, Streptophyta, Magnoliopsida, Poales, Poaceae. The transcript is spliced from 2 exons. The record is from RefSeq and is a predicted model, not a curated record.